Entelurus aequoreus (snake pipefish) is the source of this 729-nucleotide long non-coding RNA. RefSeq lists it as uncharacterized. The record is from RefSeq and is a predicted model, not a curated record. NCBI's taxonomy places the organism in Eukaryota, Metazoa, Chordata, Actinopteri, Syngnathiformes, Syngnathidae. The transcript has 5 exons.
UUUUGUAUAACAAUUUCCAACCUACAUGAUUAAUUUCAGACCAUUUUACGGUUUUAGCGUUGUGUAUAAAUGCGCGCCGGCGCUAACUAGCAUACAUUUCUCGUGCAGGUUGGCUGUUAUAAAGUUUCCAAACUGACCAAAUACCAACGAAUGACUUCUGAAGAAGGGUGGAUUUAUUUGUAGUUUAGUUAAACAAUAAUUUGCCCCGUCAGAAUGCUGCCUGAACGUUCCGAAUUUGGCAGACACGGUGAGGACAAUGCUGAGGAAAAUUGCCACAAACAAAGUCCUGGAGCAGCUCGGCCUCCGUGGAAAGUCAGGAAAAGUGGCGUUUGAGGACUUGCCCCUUUACAGAAUAAUAAAUAAGGCAUGCAGGGGUGUUUACAAGCAGACGACCACAGCUGAAGUGGAUUGUGAGCUUGGAGAGGUCCUGAAACUGGCCACUUUUCGAAAGGGAGGUUCAAAAUUUGAGGAGAAGAGGAGGAAUUAAGAGGGAGGACAAAAAAGGGAAAAGAAACAAGCAAAAGAACAGAGUGAGAUGAGAGAUGGCUCCUUCUUUUGUGGUCGUUGAGUUCCUUGGUGAACAUUCAGUCGCUGUUGUCCCAACCAAAUGGACAGAAGAUGAUGGAAAGAAUACCUUCUGCUAUUGGCCAAGGCCAAAUCCUACCCACUCCAGAAUCCGGAAAGCUGAGAUUCCUGACAAACAAUUCUAGGAGAGGCUGCCAAUUCGGG